UAACACGUGAGUAACCUGCCCCUGACUCUGGGAUAAGCCCGGGAAACUGGGUCUAAUACCGGAUACGACACCUCCUGGCAUCGGGUGGGUGUGGAAAGUUUUUUCGGUUGGGGAUGGACUCGCGGCCUAUCAGCUUGUUGGUGGGGUAACGGCCUACCAAGGCGACGACGGGUAGCCGGCCUGAGAGGGCGACCGGCCACACUGGGACUGAGACACGGCCCAGACUCCUACGGGAGGCAGCAGUGGGGAAUAUUGCGCAAUGGGCGAAAGCCUGACGCAGCGACGCCGCGUGGGGGAUGACGGCCUUCGGGUUGUAAACCUCUUUCAGCAGGGACGAAGUUGACGUGUACCUGCAGAAGAAGCGCCGGCUAACUACGUGCCAGCAGCCGCGGUAAUACGUAGGGCGCAAGCGUUGUCCGGAAUUAUUGGGCGUAAAGAGCUCGUAGGUGGCUUGUCACGUCGGGUGUGAAAGCUUGGGGCUUAACUCCAG
Molecule: ribosomal RNA, 490 nt
Filed under: Streptosporangium sp.
Lineage: Bacteria; Bacillati; Actinomycetota; Actinomycetes; Streptosporangiales; Streptosporangiaceae
Description: bacterial SSU rRNA
Rfam family: Bacterial small subunit ribosomal RNA
Source: RNAcentral